GAUGAACGCUGGCGGCGUGCCUAAUACAUGCAAGUCGAGCGAACGGACGAGAAGCUUGCUUCUCUGAUGUUAGCGGCGGACGGGUGAGUAACACGUGGAUAACCUACCUAUAAGACUGGGAUAACUUCGGGAAACCGGAGCUAAUACCGGAUAAUAUUUUGAACCGCAUGGUUCAAAAGUGAAAGACGGUCUUGCUGUCACUUAUAGAUGGAUCCGCGCUGCAUUAGCUAGUUGGUAAGGUAACGGCUUACUAAGGCAACGAUGCGUAGCCGACCUGAGAGGGUGAUCGGCCACACUGGAACUGAGACACGGUCCAGACUCCUACGGGAGGCAGCAGUAGGGAAUCUUCCGCAAUGGGCGAAAGCCUGACGGAGCAACGCCGCGUGAGUGAUGAAGGUCUUCGGAUCGUAAAACUCUGUUAUUAGGGAAGAACAUAUGUGUAAGUAACUGUGCACAUCUUGACGGUACCUAAUCAGAAAGCCACGGCUAACUACGUG
Molecule: ribosomal RNA, 497 nt
Filed under: uncultured bacterium
Lineage: Bacteria
Description: partial 16S ribosomal RNA
Rfam family: Bacterial small subunit ribosomal RNA
Source: RNAcentral